AUCUACGGCCAUACCACCCUAAGUGCCCCAUCUCAUCUGAUCUCAGAAGCUAAGCAGAGUCAGUCCUGGUUAGUACUCAGAUGGGAGGAGAGACUGCUUGGAAGAGGUUGCUU
This 113-nucleotide ribosomal RNA is filed under the name Sus scrofa (pig). Lineage: Eukaryota; Metazoa; Chordata; Mammalia; Artiodactyla; Suidae. The record is from RNAcentral.